GGGGCUGUAUUGGAUUUUGACAGCGAGCAGGAGAGGUCUGUAAGCAUGCAGUGCGUUGCCGAAUAGCACUUUAAUCAUAGGCGGUAAACAGUAACUGGCGAAACAAAUUACGCUCUUGCUGCAUAACUGAAGCACAGUAGGUUAUCUUUAUCCUGCGCAAGGCGCGGGAGCAAGACAUCUCUCAAAUGCCGAGUCCCAAGGCGGUUUGGUUCAGAGGUGUAGGAAUAUUGGGAAUAGUCUGAUCUUGCCGCGAAGUGACGAUGAGAUUUUCAGCGGAUAAGGCGUUGGUUGGUGGCUUCGGUCUUGCCGGCGCACGAAAAUCGAAGGCGAAGAUAAGCAUGUAGAAAGCAUUCAGCUUCCUCGUUUGGACACGGGUUCGACCCCCGUCAGCUCCACA
Molecule: transfer-messenger RNA, 397 nt
Filed under: human gut metagenome
Rfam family: transfer-messenger RNA
About the family: Bacterial tmRNA, also known as 10Sa RNA or SsrA, is named for its dual tRNA and mRNA-like properties. Its role is to liberate the mRNA from a stalled ribosome.
Source: RNAcentral